CCUACGGGAGGCAGCAGUGAGGAAUAUUGGUCAAUGGACGAGAGUCUGAACCAGCCAAGUAGCGUGAAGGAUGACUGCCCUAUGGGUUGUAAACUUCUUUUAUAUGGGAAUAAAAUGUUACACGUGUGGGAUUUUGUAUGUACCAUAUGAAUAAGGAUCGGCUAACUCCGUGCCAGCAGCCGCGGUAAUACGGAGGAUCCGAGCGUUAUCCGGAUUUAUUGGGUUUACAGGGAGCGUAGGUGGAUUGUUAAGUCAGUGGUGAAAGUUUGCGGCUCAACCGUAAAAUUGCAGUUGACACUGGCAGUCGUGAGUACAGUAGAGGUGGGCGGAAUUCGUGGUGUAGAGGUGAAAUGCUUAGAUAUCACGAAGAACUCCGAUUGCGAAGGCAGCUCACUGGACUGCAACUGACACUGAGGCUCGAAAGUGUGGGUAUCAAACAGGAUUAGAUACCCCAGUAGUC
RNAcentral lists this ribosomal RNA (460 nucleotides) under uncultured bacterium. RNAcentral's name for it is "partial 16S ribosomal RNA". It matches the Rfam family "Bacterial small subunit ribosomal RNA", at positions 338 to 795 of the family's 1533-position model. The record is from RNAcentral.